UACGGAGGGGGCAAGCGUUGUUCGGAUUUACUGGGCGUAAAGGGUGUGUAGGCGGUUGCGCAAGUCUGGUGUGAAAUCUUCACCGCUUAACGGGAAGAGGUCACUGGAAACUGCGUAACUCGAGUGUGGUAGAGGCAAGCGGAAUUCCUGGUGUAGCGGUGGAAUGCGUAGAUAUCAGGAAGAACACCGGUGGCGAAGGCGGCUCGCUGGGCCAGUUCUGACACUCAUCCGCGAAAGCGUGGGGAGCAAACCGG
This 254-nucleotide ribosomal RNA is filed under the name uncultured bacterium. RNAcentral describes it as "partial 16S ribosomal RNA". It matches the Rfam family "Bacterial small subunit ribosomal RNA", at positions 524 to 776 of the family's 1533-position model. The record is from RNAcentral.